UAUGGUGAUUCCCUUUGAUGGGUUACGCAGUUAUGAUCUAUCACAUUGAUUGAAACCAUGGAUUAGUAAGAGGAAGUAUAUCCCAAUUUAAGGUUUUGAUGCCCCCGAAAGACCUCCAUCGGUGAUGCAGUCGGCGCUCUUCGAGGCAGCUGCUCGGUCAGCCCACUCUUACCGACGAUGAAGCGGAAGAAGUGGAGGGAGGAGGAGGAGGCGACGCUGAUCCGGGAGUACGCGGCCCUGCUGUCGCCGCCGUCGGGAGGCGCCCUCCUCCUGGCCAGGCUCCGCACGCGGGAGAAGAAGUUCCAGCCGAUCGCGGACCGGGUGAAUGCCGCCCACCACCUCCGCGACCCCGUGGCCUUCCCCUUCCGCUGGUCCUGGCGGGACGUCUCCGUCAAGAUCCACAACAUGCGACACCAGUUCCUCCACGUCAAGCGCAAGCUCCUCCCCCUCCCCGCCCACCUCCACCCCGACCACGCCCUCCACCUCUGGCCAAACUUCCUCCUCUACACGCAGGUCUUCGGCGAUCAUCUGGAGCCCCACCUCCGCCCCUCCUCCAAAACCCCCGCUUCCGACGGUGAUCGUGAGGAUGAUGAUAGCCUCAACGAAGAAGAUUACGAAUAUGAAAAUGAUGACGUUGAGGAGGAGGACGAGGCGCAAUUGGCCACCGAUCUCUCUGCCUCCGAUCAAGAAGUGGCGGACGAUGAGGAAAGGAUCGAUGCAGAACUCGUGCAUCGAGAAGAAGAAGGGGAGGAAGCGCUAGGGUUGCGGCGUCUCCUUCCUCGCCGCCGCCGUGGGAAAAAGAUGGGAUUUUUGGGAGCCGACAUGGUGAGGCUUGGCGAGAUCGCGAUGAGGAGGGAGGAGCGAAGACGCGAAAGGGAGGCAUCGAGGGAGGAAGAAGAUCGCGAAAGGGAGCGGCGGAAGAGGGCCUUGGAGCACCAAAGACAGAUGGAUGAGGAGGAGGAGAGGAGGGAGCAGUGGCGAAGGAGGAUGAGUAGGGAGGAGAGGAGGGAAGAAGAGGAGAUGGAGUGGAGGGAGAGGAUGCUGGUGAUGCAGAUGGAGCACGAGAAGCAGGUGAUGCAGAUGCAAGCCGAUGCUUUCCAGGAUCAGAUGCAAAUGAUCGCCAUCCUGGUCAGGGUCAUUUGCCAGUUCCUUGGAGGAGGGACCGCCGGUGGUGGUGAUGGUGGGAUUGGGGGAAUUCAGCACCAUGUGAUGCAGCAGCAGCAGCAGAAGCAAGAGGAGUCACCAGAGAGCUUAGUGGGCGAUGGUGGGAAGAAUGGUGAUCAUUCUGGUGGGCGCUAUACUUAGAUUCAUGCUGUAUCUUAUACUGACAAAGAAAAUUAUGGUGUUGUAUUUAAUUUUCACUGUAGGAAGAUAAAGAACCAAGAUUGUCUUCUAAUCAAGAUAAGCUAGAAAUGGACGGGUGUCAGCUAAAUGCCCACCAGAUAGACUGCCGGCUUCCACUUCCAAACUAUGGUGAACUACGAGUUAUAUGAUCUUUUAUUCUCAUGGUUGCUAAAUUUUUACGCGGAAACAUGAUGUCGAAUUUGACCUAUGGAUAUAGCUACACAGAAUGUUUAUCUCCAAUUUAUUUUUCCCAUUGUUUCAGUAGCUUAAUGGUAUCCCUUUGAGUUAUCCAAAUGGAUCAAGAUCAGAUUUAAUCUCA
This is an RNA transcript of Musa acuminata AAA Group (dessert banana), 1663 nucleotides long. RefSeq lists it as uncharacterized. The transcript has 3 exons. NCBI's taxonomy places the organism in Eukaryota, Viridiplantae, Streptophyta, Magnoliopsida, Zingiberales, Musaceae. The record is from RefSeq and is a predicted model, not a curated record.